ACUUGCUGGAGGUGAAGGGUUGGAUCAAAAAAUUAAAAAGAAGAGAUCUAUUGGAGCUGUAAGAAACACAGUCAUGACUGGUGAAAGAGAUGUGAAACAAUCUGCUCUUCCAAAGGCAAAUACUGAUUCGAAGAUGCGUUUUUAUGAUACACAAGAUUUCAAGUAGUUUGUCUUGUUAUAGAUUUCAGGACUUAGGUUUUAGUUGUCAUGCUAAUACUGACCAAAUAGUUUUUUCGAGGAUUUAUUAGAUUUUCCAUCAAUGAUGAUAUAUAUAUAUGGAGUAAUUUCACACACUAGUUUUCAUCCAACAGAAUUUGUUAAUGGUAGAAAAUAUCAUAUGAAUGGUUCUAUGAUUUUUUGUGUAUGUUAAAACUGAAUGGAUCAUGGUCAUGGUAUUGAAUCAACAUUACUAUUAUAGGUUGAUUUCAAGACCGAGUUGGUGGGAAAGUCCGGUGUUACCCCCAAUCUUGCAACCUCUUUCAUUGAGACACUUGAAGCCAAUGAGCUUUUCAAGGUCUUGGUAGGUCAGAUGUAUUAUAGUGGUUAUGGUGUUCCCAAAGAUGACGAGAAGAGCAGAGAAUAGGCCACUGAACGUGCCCUUGAUUGCACCUUUUACCAUUGCAUCAACAAGGUUGGAGAUGGUAGAGAACGUGGUCAUUAGAAUUGAACUCAGCAAUGGCUCUGUGGGUUGGGGUGAGGCACCAAUUCUGCCUUUUGUUAUUGCUGAGGACCAGAAAACUGCCAUGGCUAAGGCUUCUGAGGCAUGUGCCUUUCUCAGGAGAUGUCCUUCACUAACACUGGGUUCCAUGUUGGAGGAAAUUGCUGCUAUUCUUCCUGGCCAUGAAUUUGCUUCUGUGAGUGACAUUCAGUUAAACUCUUCAUCUUCAUGAUCAUAUUAAUUUUUUCUACUCAUUCUAAUGUUUUCCUUUUGUACUUUUGAAAGGGACGUUUUGCAUGCCCCUUUGCUACAUGAAUUCAUAUGGCUUUGAAUUAACUACGAUCCUUCUUAUUAUUGGUAAUUAAGGAAAUGAAACGAGACUUGUAAAAUUUGAGAAAGUUCUAGUCUUCAAUUAGUCAUUGUAUUUUGUUGUAUUUAUUUGGUUGACUUUUGCCAUUAUGCCCUGCUUUUUGCACCUAAAAUUUUUGCUUUGAUUCUUGUCUUUGGUUGCUUUUGAGAAAAUGUGUUGUUUCAAGGUAGCUUAGAUUAUUUGAAAGUUGCUAGCUUUUCCUGCACAGGAAUCAAUAUCAAAAUGUACAAAGGAAAAUGAAUCUUGUCCUAGUGUUUUCUAAAGGAUAAUUCAACCUUUUUCCUUCAUAGUACAUAAUUUCCUUUUAAUACUACUAUAGCAAUAAAGCUAUUUUUAUUCAGUUGGGAUUUAUGUAAUGUUAAAGAAACUGGGUUAAUAAUAAUAAUAAUAAUAAUAAUAAUGGAAUGGUAGAAGUUGCAAAGAAUAAUAAGAGAGGACACAAUAAUAGUAGUAAGCAAACUGUUCAUAGAAAAUCCAUUGAGACAUUUGGUCAAAGAACUUCACAGUACAGAGGUGUCACAAGGUUAGUCAAAUUUUUCACUUUCAUUUUUAUUUCAUUAUUAAUUUUAUCAACUAUUUAAAACAUACUUUUAUUUUGCUUUUUUGGUUUUUAUUUUAUUUUUUGCCUUUUUAUUUAAAUAUAUAUUUUUUAGCAUUUUUUUCUUUUGAUUUUCUUCUAUUAGGCAUAGAUGAACCGGCAGAUAUGAAGCACAUUUGUGGGAUAAUAGUUGCAAAAAAGAAGGGCAAACUAGGAAAGGAAGACAAGGUGGCUAUGAUAUGGAAGAAAAAGCUGCAAGUGCUUAUGAUCUUGCAACCCUUAAGUAUUGGGGGCCUUCAACACACAUAAACUUUCCGAACUUGUUGUGUUGGUUGUGCAAUUGAGAAUGUGAUAAGGAUACUGUUAGAGAGGGCAAGCAUGUUUUUGGUGUUGUUCACAUUUUUGCAUCAUUCAAUGACACCUUUAUUCAUGUGAUUGAUUUGUCUAGAAAGGAAACCCUUGUCCGCACACUGUCUCCUGUGAAAAUGGUACCCACUAGCAUGGCCAAAGAAUUCACUGGCGUAUGAUGGAAAUGAUAUGACAUUUGGGAUAUCAUCAAGAAUGGCUGGCCUUGUUUUAAUCACUCUGUGUGUAUCUAUGUAAAAAUUUCACAAUAAAAUUUUGAUAAUUAACUUGGCACUAUUGUCUUUGUUCUUGAUACAUUGUAAAAACAAAAAAUUUCAAUGAAAAUUUGAUAAUUAAC
Long non-coding RNA from Arachis stenosperma, 2269 nucleotides. RefSeq lists it as uncharacterized. The transcript has 8 exons. NCBI's taxonomy places the organism in Eukaryota, Viridiplantae, Streptophyta, Magnoliopsida, Fabales, Fabaceae. The record is from RefSeq and is a predicted model, not a curated record.